Molecule: non-coding RNA, 115 nt
Filed under: Clostridiales bacterium PH28_bin88
Lineage: Bacteria; Bacillati; Bacillota; Clostridia; Eubacteriales
Also listed under: 1 other name
Description: TPP riboswitch aptamer (THI element)
Rfam family: TPP riboswitch aptamer (THI element)
About the family: Vitamin B(1) in its active form thiamin pyrophosphate (TPP) is an essential coenzyme that is synthesised by coupling of pyrimidine and thiazole moieties in bacteria.
Source: Rfam by way of RNAcentral
CAUAGGCAUCAUGGGGAGCUGGAUGAGUCUGGCUGAGAGGGAAUUCCCACUGAUAUUCCGACCCAUUGUACCUGAUCUGGGUAAUGCCAGCGUAGGGAGGUGUACCAAGCGUGCA